UAGGGAAUCUUCGGCAAUGGACGAAAGUCUGACCGAGCAACGCCGCGUGAGUGAAGAAGGUUUUCGGAUCGUAAAACUCUGUUGUUAGAGAAGAACAAGGACGUUAGUAACUGAACGUCCCCUGACGGUAUCUCACCAGAAAGCCACGGCUAACUACGUGCCAGCAGCCGCGGUAAUACGUAGGUGGCAAGCGUUGUCCGGAUUUAUUGGGCGUAAAGCGAGCGCAGGCGGUUUCUUAAGUCUGAUGUGAAAGCCCCCGGCUCAACCGGGGAGGAUCAUUGGAAACUGUGAGACUUGAGUGCAGAAGAGGAGAGUGGAAUUCCAUGUGUGGCGGUGAAAUGCGUAGAUAUAUGGAGGAACACCAGUGGCGAAGGCGGCGCUCUGGUCUGUAACUAACGCUGAGGCUCGAAAGCGUGGGGAGCAAACAGG
Molecule: ribosomal RNA, 429 nt
Filed under: Gemmatimonadota bacterium
Lineage: Bacteria; Pseudomonadati; Gemmatimonadota
Description: Gemmatimonadetes bacterium partial 16S ribosomal RNA
Rfam family: Bacterial small subunit ribosomal RNA
Source: RNAcentral